CAUCAUCCUCAGUGUCAUCCAUUUUUAAGUUCAGCCUCAAGAACAAGAAAACCCUAAAAAUCCACUUAACUUCAAAUGACCAAUUUCUUCUUCACUUUAAAAUCCAACUCCCCCAACACCAUCUUUUCAGCCCAAAAGUAUGUCAAUUUCCACUCCCAAUUUUACUUCCCUAUUCUUCAUCAAAUCAGUGUUCGCAAGUCAACAAACCCCAAAAGCUUCUGUCGCCAUAUCCAGUUCCAUAAUUUCAUUGGGCGAUAAAACCCAGUUCCAGAAACAGCAAAACCCCAAGAAUCUCACUAACGGAUAAUCUCACUGUUCAGUUGCAGAUGACCAAAUAAUCCAGAAACAUAGUACCAAACCCAAAAAAAUAAAAUUUAGAAACAUAAAGUAAGAGAAUAAACUUACAUGAUUC
This 412-nucleotide unclassified non-coding RNA is filed under the name Hevea brasiliensis (rubber tree). Lineage: Eukaryota; Viridiplantae; Streptophyta; Magnoliopsida; Malpighiales; Euphorbiaceae. The record is from RNAcentral.